CAAAAACAUAGCCAAUAGAAAAAAUUAUUAUUGGUGAUGCCUGCUCAAUGAAAAUAGCUGCGGUAACACCUGACCGUACAAAGGUAGCACAAUAAAUCGCCUACUAAUUAUAGGAUAGAAUGAAGGUAAAACGAAGAUCUUACUGUCUCAAGACCAUAAAAUUUAAAAUAGAAUGUGUGUGUAAAUCCACACUAAGACGGCAAGACGAUAAGACCCUAAGAACUUUAAAUUCUAAGUUUCGUUGGGGCAACGAUCUUUAAAAAAGUAACUAAGAUAAGACCCAUUAAAUUAAUGAUAAUAUAAUAAAAGUUCCUUAGGGAUAACAGCGUCAUAUCGUUUCAAGAGAACCAUCCAAACGAUGUUUGCGACCUCGAU
RNAcentral lists this ribosomal RNA (375 nucleotides) under Caulophacus sp. SMF12088. RNAcentral's name for it is "partial 16S ribosomal RNA". It matches the Rfam family "Bacterial large subunit ribosomal RNA", at positions 1808 to 2530 of the family's 2925-position model. Lineage: Eukaryota; Metazoa; Porifera; Hexactinellida; Lyssacinosida; Rossellidae. The record is from RNAcentral. RNAcentral also lists the same sequence under 1 other name.